Molecule: ribosomal RNA, 253 nt
Filed under: uncultured bacterium
Lineage: Bacteria
Description: partial 16S ribosomal RNA
Rfam family: Bacterial small subunit ribosomal RNA
Source: RNAcentral
UACAGAGGUCCCAAGCGUUGUUCGGAUUCACUGGGCAUAAAGGGCGCGUAGGCGGUUCCGAAGGUGGCGUGUGAAAUCCCCCGGCUCAACCGGGGAAGUGCGCGCCAAACCACGGUUCUUGAGGGCGGUAGGGGGGACUGGAACUCUCGGUGGAGCGGUGAAAUGCGUAGAUAUCGAGAGGAACACCGGCGGCGAAGGCGAGUCCCUGGUCCGCAUCUGACGCUGAGGCGCGAAAGCGUGGGUAGCAAACAGG